UUCCGGUUGAUCCUGCCGAAGGCUACUGCUAUUGGAGUUCGAUUAAGCCAUGCGAGUCUAAGGGAUCUUCGGAUCCCUGGCGUAAUGCUCAGUAACACGUGGAUAAUCUACCCUCAGGUGGGGCAUAAACCCGGGAAACUGGGGCCAAUUCCCCAUAAAUACAGAUGGCUGGAAUGCUUCUGUAUUCAAAGCUCCGGCGCCUGAGGAUGGGUCUGCGGCCUAUCAGGUUGUAGUCAGGGUCAAGACCUGACUAGCCAGCGACGGGUAUGGGGUGUGAGAGCACUUGCCCAGAGAUGGUUUCUGAGACACGAAACCAGGCCCUACGGGGCGCAGCAGGCGCGAAAACUUCGCAAUGCGGGAAACCGUGACGAGGGAACUCCAAGUGUCUAUGCAUUGCAUAGACUGUUUUUUAGCCUAAAUAGCUAUUAGAGUAAGGGGUGGGCAAGACCGGUGCCAGCCGCCGCGGUAACACCGGCACCUCGAGUGGUAGCCACUAUUAUUGGGCCUAAAGCGUUCGUAGCCGGUUUGGUAAAUUCUUGGGUAAAUCGUACCGCUUAACGGUGCGGAUUCCGGGGACACUACCAGACUUGAGACCGGGGGAGAUCAGAGGUACUUGCGGGGGAGCGGUGAAAUGUUGUAAUCCCGCAGGGACCACCAGUGGCGAAGGCGUCUGAUCAGAACGGCUCUGACGGUGAGGAACGAAACCCUGGGGCGCAAACGGGAUUAGAUACCCCGGUAGUCCAGGGCGUAAACGCUGCUGACUUGGUGUUGGGGAUCCUACGAGGAUGUCCAGUGCUGGCGCGAAGGUAUUAAGUCAGCCGCCUGGGGAGUACGGUCGCAAGACUGAAACUUAAAGGAAUUGGCGGGGGAGCACUGCAACGUGUGGAGCGUGCGGUUUAAUUGGAUUCAACGCCGG
Molecule: ribosomal RNA, 916 nt
Filed under: uncultured marine archaeon
Lineage: Archaea
Description: bacterial SSU rRNA
Rfam family: Archaeal small subunit ribosomal RNA
Source: RNAcentral